This 24-nucleotide non-coding RNA is filed under the name Mus musculus (house mouse). Lineage: Eukaryota; Metazoa; Chordata; Mammalia; Rodentia; Muridae. RNAcentral also lists the same sequence under 1 other name. The record is from RNAcentral.
UCCAUGUGUACUCUUUGGUUGAUG